UUUGAUGGUGGCUCAGAUUGAACGCUGGCGGCAGGCCUAACACAUGCAAGUCGAGCGGUAACAGAUUGAUAGCUUGCUAUCAAUGCUGACGAGCGGCGGACGGGUGAGUAAUGCCUGGGAAUAUACCCUGAUGUGGGGGAUAACUAUUGGAAACGAUAGCUAAUACCGCAUAAUCUCUUCGGAGCAAAGAGGGGGACCUUCGGGCCUCUCGCGUCAGGAUUAGCCCAGGUGGGAUUAGCUAGUUGGUGGGGUAAUGGCUCACCAAGGCGACGAUCCCUAGCUGGUCUGAGAGGAUGAUCAGCCACACUGGAACUGAGACACGGUCCAGACUCCUACGGGAGGCAGCAGUGGGGAAUAUUGCACAAUGGGGGAAACCCUGAUGCAGCCAUGCCGCGUGUAUGAAGAAGGCCUUCGGGUUGUAAAGUACUUUCAGUUGUGAGGAAGGCGUUGGAGUUAAUAGCUUCAGCGCUGACG
RNAcentral lists this ribosomal RNA (474 nucleotides) under Photobacterium sp. IS17An. Its description in RNAcentral is "bacterial SSU rRNA". It matches the Rfam family "Bacterial small subunit ribosomal RNA", at positions 12 to 480 of the family's 1533-position model. The record is from RNAcentral. Lineage: Bacteria; Pseudomonadati; Pseudomonadota; Gammaproteobacteria; Vibrionales; Vibrionaceae.